CGCACAUUGCGCCCUUUGGCAUUCCGAGGGGCAUGCCCGUUCGAGCGUCAUUAAACCCACUCAAGCCUGGCUUGGUCUUGGGCGUCGGGGACUUCCCCGCGCCUCCAUGUCGCCGGCUGGCCGUUGUUUGACUUAGCGUUGUGACACAUGUCGCUGACGUCGACGACGGACCGCGCCGUGAGAACCCCCUUGGACGUCUAUGGACGCCCAGUAAAGGUUGACCUCGGAUCGGGUAGGAAUACCCGCUGAACUUAA
This 255-nucleotide unclassified non-coding RNA is filed under the name fungal sp. RNAcentral describes it as "partial contains 5.8S ribosomal RNA, internal transcribed spacer 2, and large subunit ribosomal RNA". The record is from RNAcentral. Lineage: Eukaryota; Fungi.